RNAcentral lists this ribosomal RNA (403 nucleotides) under Fusobacteriota bacterium. RNAcentral's name for it is "Fusobacteria bacterium partial 16S ribosomal RNA". It matches the Rfam family "Bacterial small subunit ribosomal RNA", at positions 355 to 776 of the family's 1533-position model. Lineage: Bacteria; Fusobacteriati; Fusobacteriota. The record is from RNAcentral.
UGGGGAAUUUUGCACAAUGGAGGAAACUCUGAUGCAGCGACGCCGCGUGAGUGAUGAAGAUCUUCGGAUUGUAAAACUCUGUCCUUAGUGAAGAUAAUGACAGUAACUAAGAAGCAAGCCCUGGCUAAAUACGUGCCAGCAGCCGCGGUAAUACGUAUGUGGCAAGCGUUGUCCGGAAUUAUUGGGCGUAAAGGGUACGUAGGCGGUUUAAUAAGUCCUAAUUAAAAGGCUAUGGCUCAACCAUAGUAUGGUUAGGAAACUGUUGAACUUGAGUAGAUGAGGGGAAAGUGGAAUUACAUGUGUAGCGGUGAAAGGCGAAGAUAUAUGGAGGAACACCAAUGGCGGAGGGAACAUUCUGGAAUCAAACUGACGCAGAGGUAAGAAAGGGUGGGGAGGAAACAGG